Small nuclear RNA from Cebus imitator (Panamanian white-faced capuchin), 103 nucleotides. The record is from Ensembl. Lineage: Eukaryota; Metazoa; Chordata; Mammalia; Primates; Cebidae.
GUGCUCACUUUGGCAGCACAUAUACUGAAAUUAAAAUGCUACAGAGAUGAGCAUGGCCUCUGUGCAACGAUGACACGCAAAUUUGUGAGCAUUCCAUAUUUUU